UAUUAACAUGCGAUCCAAAGCUCAGAGAUCAGCGUUAAAUGGUUGGGAUUGUUGGAAAUGUGAAAAAUAUUACAAGAGUCUAUCUUUGUCUAAAACAGAGUUACAGAAG
Molecule: non-coding RNA, 109 nt
Organism: Nylanderia fulva
Lineage: Eukaryota; Metazoa; Arthropoda; Insecta; Hymenoptera; Formicidae
Source: RefSeq, a predicted model, not a curated record